UUCACACCACCAGUGAUUACCAUGCAACCCAGUUUGAUCAUCCACCAAGCUCAAGCAUUGAACAACAAACAUCUGCGUUAGAAUGUCCUCCACAUGCAAGGGGUCACAAGGAUUCACUAAUGGAGACUGAAAGAAAAAUGGGUUCAACUCGCAAGAGUACUGGUAGGUUUAAAGGUGAGAGAAAACUUGAUGACGUGAGGACCACUGAAGAGUUAGAUGAAGAAUAUGUAACUCAACCAAACACAUCAACCACUAAGGAACAACAUGCUUCUCUAACAGAAGAAGAACAAUCAAGUUUUCCUUCUGAUUUAUCCCUUCAGACCAAAAGUUCUGGUUUUGGAAAGGAGUCUGGAACAACUCCUAUGUUUGCAGUUUCAGAAAAUAAAGGAAAAGGUACAAUCCACCAUAAAGAAAUAACCUCUCAUUCACAUGAGGUAGUAAGAGAUAUGCCUAUAGACGAGGCAAUGGGGCCAUCUGUCCAUUCUAUUCCUGUCACAGUAGCUGAAUGUGAUUUGUUGCGGGAGGAUUCAGUCAUGUUUAAUGAACCAAAGACACUUAGUCACCAAGAAACCCAAAUAGCCAGUACCUCUGGACAAAAAAGAAGGAUGGGCUCAACCCGCAGACCUCUCAGAGGGCAAAACAGUGAAAAUGUAGGUGUGCAAGAACAUUCACGAAACAUGACAGAGAAUGAAAGGAAAGCAAAAGUCAUGGGCGAAGCAAAGUUGAAAAUGUCAGAAGAGAUGGCACAAACAUGGGAUGAUGUGGCAAGAGUUGAUCCAUCGUCCCACACAGAAUCAGCUUUGCUUUUAAGUCAGUCUCUAUUGGCCGAUAGAGCUGAGCUGAAAGAGCCUGAUGUUUCGGCUGGAACUGAAACUAUGAACCAAUCAGUUGCUUUUCCCCUUGUUGAUUCAGAAAAGCCCCUACCUGAAACAUCUAGCCACCAUGGGACUCCAUUACUGAACGAGGCAUUGGAUUUUAAGUUUGGUUCACACACUGAGGAUUUAGAUGUUCUAAACAAAGUUUUAAAAGAAGCAGGA
This 1037-nucleotide long non-coding RNA is filed under the name Sinocyclocheilus anshuiensis. RNAcentral's name for it is "lncRNA (ENSSANG00000036621.1)". The record is from RNAcentral. Lineage: Eukaryota; Metazoa; Chordata; Actinopteri; Cypriniformes; Cyprinidae.